UGAAAUAAUUGUCUGGAGACAAGAGAAUCCUCCAGGUGGCUAGUUAAAUGCCUCCAGAAGGUUCGGGCAUUGAUGAAUCCCUCUGAGGAUUUCUGUAGUUGACAAGUGGCCUUAUUGGUCAAAGAAUCUCAUUAAUCAGAUCCCUCAGAGUGGAACCUCCACAGUGGCAUGUUUGUGAAGAAGGGGAUCAUAAAGCAGAUGUGCGGCUGGCUCUCAGCAUUCAGGGUGAAACUCUUCAGUGCAGAGAGCAUCGCAUUAUACAAAACCUACACUGAUAUUUAAAAUCAUUUCUAACUUCUGUUUGUCAGCCUAACUAGGGACCAUUGAUUUUUUAGCAUCUACCUUUUCUUUCACUCUUAUGUCUCAUACUCCUAUAUAUUUCAGGCCAGGGCUAAAACAGGUCAAAAUUAAGAAGCACAGCUUUCCAGGCUCUCACUUUUACAUGAAAAAUACACCUGAAUCCCAUACCACCCCUAUGGUCCCCAGUGAUUGCUCUUGAGUCUCAGGGAAUGAACUCCACAGUCUGCACAGGUUUUAUGUGGCUCCCUGUUCUGGGUCAAGCUACUUUUGGUGUUAUUAACUUCGGAGGCCUCAAUUGCUCAUAAAGCCAGGUGCUGGCACCUGGGCACCAUUCCCUCUGUGGGUCGUAGUGUCUUCUACCAGGCGCCACUGCCAUGGUACUAUGCUGGAGUUCUCUGGGCCCAGGGGACACUGCCAAGGUGACAUGGCUCCCUGAAGCAAAGUCCCUCCUGCCUUCCCCUCCCCUCUCCAGAGUACAUUUUACUGAAGUACCAAAGAAGGGCUGCUUGUGCCCUCUGCUUUCUAGAGUUUAUUUCAAAAUUUACUUCUAGCCGUGGCCAAUUCUCCAUGAAUUCAGUUGGUAGGUAUGAUGCUACAUUUAAGAUUGUCCUCCCAAGGCCAAGUUUAUUUUUCUUUCUCCCUCUCACCCAGGAUGAGUUAUUUUUCUUUUCUUUUUCAGGAGAUACCUUGGUUUGUCAUAAAAACAAAUUCCUUUUAGGGCCACCUAGAAACUGUCAGCCAUGCUCAGAUGUGUGUGAGUCAAUAAAAUAUGUAUAGGUGGGACUCAAGUUAGGACCCUCCAUUUCUUUCUUCGUAUUCUUCUUGCACUUCUGUCCUCUCCCUUCUCAUCUCUCUCCUUCCCCCUCCACAAUGUUCAUUAUUCAUGGAGCACCAACCACGUGUCAGGCACUGUUCUAAGCACUUUAGAUAAAGCAGUAACAAAAUCGAAAAUAUCUCACUUUCCUGGACAUUCCAGAAAGCAACCAAUGCUAUGAGCAGGACACUUAAUAGGGUGCUGUGUGAGAGUGACCAGAAGCUGGUCUACCUGGGGUGACAAGGAGGGCCUUUCUGAUGAGGUCAAUAACUGUUUAGCCAAGAUGAAUGACAAGAAAGACUUAGUUGUACAAAAACAUGGCACUUGGGCCUUCCAUGCAGAGAAUAUAGCAGUAUUUAUAUCUUUAUUUAUAUUGCAUAGCAAAAUCUUUUCUCUGAGAACUUCCCUAGAUGUGAGAAGUAGGGUUUUACACUCAACCCACCCAUGUUUGGCUUGUUGCAUUCACUCAGAUGUCACCUCUUGUGCAGGACCCCGUGUGUGACUGUUUCAUAGGCCUUCAGCUGUGGGGAUCUUCCAUUGAUCCCUCUUGGGCACAGUCAUGUCCCAAGUCACCAAGCACUCUAAUGGGACCUCUGGGCAUAUGGUUUUCAGGGUUUCUAGCCUCAUCCCACAGGGAGGAGGGCUGCAGGGAAAUCUCAGCCCAGGUGCAGAGGCAUGACCAAAGAAAGGGUGCUGGGAAGCCCACAGCUCCCUUAUUUCCAGGGAAUUCCAGAUUCUACGUUACUAAGCAAUGACAGAAUAAGAGUGGUGGGGACUUCUCUGUUCACCACAGGCAUACCUGAGCCUGGGUGCAGGCAGGCUGUGAUUGACUGGUGAUGAAGUUAAAUUUUUUUAAGGUUUUUAAGGUUUGGGGAUGGGGUUAUAAGCCUAAGGAAUCUGGGGUGAAAUGCUUGAGAUUAAAGUUCCACAGAUGGAAAUAUGAUCAGUCUUGAAAGAGUUUUAAACUAGAAAAUGCUGCGGUUACCGUGGAAACGGCGGGAAGUAACAACCAGGCUCCCCAGGGCUGAGCGCGGCCCGCGGAGGGGAGCAGACGGCGGAGGGACAGCCGGGUCACCACGGU
Molecule: long non-coding RNA, 2195 nt
Organism: Fukomys damarensis (Damara mole-rat)
Lineage: Eukaryota; Metazoa; Chordata; Mammalia; Rodentia; Bathyergidae
Exons: 3
Source: RefSeq, a predicted model, not a curated record